UUAAAUUCAUGUCCAAAUUACAUUCCUCGAGGAAAGUAAUACUGUUUUAUGUUUAUGAGCUUUCUAUCUGUGUAUACAUCUACACACCAGAAGAGGGCAUCAGAUCCCAUUACAGAUGGUUGUGAGCCACCAUGUGGUUGCUGGGAAUUGAACUCAGGACCUCUGAAGAGCAGUCGGGUGCUCUUAACCUCUGAGCCAUUCCAGCCCCAGUAAUAAUAGUUUUACGUAUAUUGUUUAUGGUAAUUUCCUUAACCUGGGUUUUCCCUGGGAUAGAACUUUGUUCCCAGGCAUGAGUAUUUGUGCUGAUAACCACUUGCUACCCUUCCAUGUCCUUGUGUGGGAUGAGCAGGAUGACAGCUGAACCAUCUAUCAGUUUCCCCCAGACCCUUUGCUGUGUGCUGUGAGUUGGGUGUCUUACCGUCUUCUGGAUUGCCUAAUUGAGAGCCCCUCUCUUUAUCGCUAGAUUCCUAGCUGAUGAAGGAGAGAUAGAUAGGUUUCCCACACCUGAUCUUACGAGUCAGAACCAGUCCCCUCCCCCAACCCCCAACUUGCUGUCCUUUGGUCCUUUGUUCUGUAACAGCCUUAGAGGUUGCAGUGGUCCUGUGGUAGCUGCUCUGGAGCUCCCGUUUCUUUGUUGCAGGGCGCAAUAUGUGACUUCUGCGAAGCAUGGGUUUGCCACGGGAGGAAGUGUCUUAGCACCCACGCCUGUGCCUGCCCACUCACAGAUGCAGAGUGUGUGGAGUGUGAGCGAGGGGUGUGGGACCACGGAGGCAGAAUAUUCAGCUGUUCAUUUUGCCAUAAUUUUCUCUGUGAAGAUGACCAGUUUGAGCAUCAGGCCAGCUGCCAAGUUUUAGA
This 855-nucleotide long non-coding RNA is filed under the name Rattus norvegicus (Norway rat). RNAcentral's name for it is "long non-coding RNA NONRATT014539". Lineage: Eukaryota; Metazoa; Chordata; Mammalia; Rodentia; Muridae. The record is from RNAcentral.